RNAcentral lists this ribosomal RNA (580 nucleotides) under uncultured Niastella sp. Its description in RNAcentral is "bacterial SSU rRNA". It matches the Rfam family "Bacterial small subunit ribosomal RNA", at positions 102 to 680 of the family's 1533-position model. Lineage: Bacteria; Pseudomonadati; Bacteroidota; Chitinophagia; Chitinophagales; Chitinophagaceae. The record is from RNAcentral.
ACGGGUGCGGAACACGUACGCAACCUUCCUUCAAGCGGGGCAUAGCUUUCGGAAACGAAAAUUAAUACCCCAUAGUAAUAUCUGAGGGCAUCUGAGGAUAUUUAAAGAUUUAUCACUUGAAGAUGGGCGUGCGCCUGAUUAGGUAGUUGGCGGGGUAACGGCCCACCAAGCCUACGAUCAGUAACUGGUGUGAGAGCACGACCAGUCACACGGGCACUGAGACACGGGCCCGACUCCUACGGGAGGCAGCAGUAAGGAAUAUUGGUCAAUGGACGCAAGUCUGAACCAGCCAUGCCGCGUGGAGGAUGAAGGUCCUCUGGAUUGUAAACUUCUUUUAUCGGAGAAGAAACCCCCGAGUUCUCUUGGGGUUGACGGUACCCGAUGAAUGAGCACCGGCUAACUCCGUGCCAGCAGCCGCGGUAAUACGGAGGGUGCAAGCGUUAUCCGGAUUCACUGGGUUUAAAGGGAGCGUAGGUGGGCUGGUAAGUCAGUGGUGAAAUCUCCGGGCUUAACUCGGAAACUGCCGUUGAUACUAUCAGUCUUGAAUGUUGUGGAGGUAAGCGGAAUAUGUCAUGUAGCG